AUUCUUUGAACGUGUCUGCAAAGCUAGACUAUACACAGAAUGUCAGGCAGUAGUUGGGAAGCCUGCUUGUAUGAUGAGGGUUUUCACAGUGUGUAUGCAUUCACAGUCAAUAUCCCACGGAUGCCUAUGUACAUCAAUGUAUCUUUACCGCGGCAUGUACAGUUCAUAAUAUGCACACAUGUGUGUGCGGUGAUCUGGUGACCUAGUAUAUGAAAUUAGUGCAAUGAAUGUUACGAGAUGAAAUGGAUUACUGCUUUUGACAGAUAACUCGAAGAGACUCAAAUUAUUUUUGCUCUGAAGGUUGGAGUAGGAAAGUGGAGGAGGUGCUGCCUUUUUAUAGAGGGCUUCAUAAACAUUUCUUUCUCGACAGGAGUUUUAGGAUUCCGGUUGAGCGCCCUCUGCUGGUUACAAGUAGAUAUCCUCUCUUUCUCGCCGGGCAACGGAGAGGAAGGAGGUAUGAUGAUGGCUAACAAAUGAACAAAUGUCUUGUUAAUAUAGCCUUGCAUCCCUAACAUCAUGGCAUGCUUUAUAUAGCCUCAUAUUGACGUCUUUGAGUUCGAAUAUUUAAUUUUUUUUUUUUUAAUCAGAAUCUCAGUUCUGCCUUGCUGCUAAUAACCUGAUCAUGUGCAUGGGCUCUACUCCAUGAAUUUACCCCCUCUCCUGAUUCAUAAUGCAUCCUACUACCAUGUAGAAUUAGAGAAAGUGCCCUGUGUGAUUUGCAUUUCAGUCCCAUCUAAUGACAUUGAUGUAUGUGCACGAGUACACCCAGCACCAGUUGAUAUUCAGCAGUGGGACUUGUUGACUAAUUACCUGGCAUGAAGCGGUUGCGGCCAUCCAUUCUAGUGGAGGGUCUAUGUAAUAUAGAUGACAAGUGAAUUGAUGUGGCAGUGGAAAGCAAAUCCAAUUGAUGAAAUUCAAGGUUUAAUAACCUUUGAUUUUUUUUAAUGAAUAAUAAACUGUGACAGUAGAGACAUACAUAACUUGUUGGCAUCAUUGAUGAUCAAAGAAUAUCAAAGGGACGUAAAGGCAAUCAAACUCUAAAAUUUUCUUUGAUAUAUUGAAAUAACCUUGAUAGUUUUUAUUAUGUGGAGUUUCUAAAUUGAUCUAUGAGCAAUUCCCAAGAUCCAAUGAGAUUUGUUCAGGUGAAUGUAGGGAUGUAAUGAGUUUGUCUUAUGGACAUAAUACAUAGAAUUAGUGCACACUUACGGGCCAGUGAGGCGAUUAAUAAUUUUGUAGUAAUCAUAUUCUAAUCUGUCUUUGCUAAUUUGGCAUAUUCGGCAUUGCUAUUACUGCACAGCAUAGUCAAGUAUAGAUGAUAAUUAUGAUUCGAAUUUAAAAACAAAACAAAACAAUGUAAAAACAACAAACAAAUGCAACUAUACUGGAACUUUUGAAAAAUUCUGCUUAAAUUUUCUCUUUCAUCCUAAAGCUAAUUUAUAAUGACCUUAUGUCCAUUUGAUUUUGGAUGACUGUCAUUAAAAUAGCAACUUUCAAAUUCAAAUUAAAUUCUUCUUCUUUUUCUUUGCUCUUUUCUCUGUUAAGCGAGAUUCACUGCCUUGAGCUUCAUUCUUUUUCUAAUCGCAAGCGCUAAAAGAACGUAAAUAAAACAUUUUUCAAUCUAAGAUACAGCUAUAAUGAGCAUUAUUACGCCACUUUCAUCAACAUUGGCAUUCUUCCUAAAAAUAUGAAAUAAUAAUAAUAAUAAUAAUUAUUUGAAGUUUGAAGAGGUUUAUGCCUCCAAAAUUUGUUUCAUUGGAUUGGAUUUUUUUCAGGACAAAUUUAUGAAAUGAUUUGAGGAUUAAUAAAUGGUUAAUGAGACUUAUAGAAGAGCUGCAUUUACAAGGAAUGACAUGCAUGUAUGUACUGUAUUGUGUGGAAUUAUACAUGUUUAUUGUUUUAUUUCAGGAUGUUGUAUGUUAUUCUUCAUAUUUAAAAAAAAAAAAAUCAUCCUUCAUUUGUUUCUGUUUGCAUGCAUCUCUGUAUACCUUCGAUCAUGUUUGUGCAAUUUGUUGUGUAUUUUCAAUUCCAAUUCCAAUUUUAUUUCUGUUUCCAACAAAACAUUACAAAUCUGUUAUAAUCAUUUUCAAAAAUUAAGGAAUACAUAUUGGAAACAGAGGGGUCCACUAAGAAGCAUGUUGAAAGCUAGAUGGGCAUUAACUCUGUAGUGAAGGAUAAACAUGUACGUUUACACCUUUUUGGUUAUCUUCAGACAAUAUCAUCUGUUCAGAGCCAGAAGGGCAUUAAUUCUGUGUAAAAGUUUAGGAGUUAAAUGCCCUGUGUAAAAUAUAUCUCUCAAACAGAAAUGCCCCCACCAUUGCAUAUUUUAUGUCACCUUGUUGUUCCAUUUCUUGACCUCACCUUCCCUCCUUCAACUCAACUGUUUCCUCUCUCAUUCAGUGAUGUAUCUUAUUACCAACUUUCUAUCUUAUAGUAUUUAUAUGUUCAUGUACUUUGUUUAGACUUACUAGUGUUUGUUGAAUUGUUACAGAUUAUUUGUUUUAUGUUUUAUGAAAUUAAACCGUAAUCCACUCCCCCCUCCCAAUUGUUUUUAUUUUUAUUAAUAUCUAUGAACACUGCAAUAUUCCUGAUGUGCAUCAGUCUGCGAUUUCCUGCGGUAACUUCAUAUUCGGCUAUCUUUGUUAUGUCUGUAAGGUACAAAACAUUUAUGGCUAUUUACAAAUAUUUGACAUGAAGUUGAAUAGUUAAAAGUAGAACAUUUGAAAGGAAUGUAUAUUUAAGGAUAUAUUUGUCCUGCUUACGUCCUUGAUUUAGCCUCCUGGUUGUACUUUUAACUCGUCCUUUUUUGUAAUUCUGUCUGGGGUAUGUGCUGUCUCAAAGUUUACGGAAAUGUUUGCUCAUACUGAGAUUGUCUCAUGCGAUAUGAAUGACGUGGAAUCCAAAAGCCCUGUUCAGAUACGGCAUAGUUAACGGCCUGAAAAUGAAAUCUCCUGCAGCACAAGAAACAUUUAAUCUGAAAUGAAUUGCAAAUUGGAGUUCAAAAGAGAGCUGCACUUAUCCAAGGCCUCUACAUGUCAUCCUUGAUCCGUGUAUAAUAGACAGAUUUGUGACAUGCACAUGCUGACGUCAUUUUAUUUCAUCAAAGCAUUUUCAGGUGUUUUCCGCUUCACAUUAUUUAUUUUCAUUUUUUGAAAUUUAUUGUUAUAUCACCAGGGUAGCCCAUUCAGCAAAAUUUGGUCUUCCAUGGGAAUUUAAGAAAAAUGCCUGAGUAAGGCUCACAUCUUUCAUUACAUACAUGUAGGUUAUGUCAAUAAUGUGAACAAAUCAAUUCAGUUUAGCAAAUAGAGAGGAUUUUGGGAUUCAAUGGAGAAAGACAUGAAUGUAAUGUAAACAUUUCCCCGGUAGUCGGCUAAUGUUAAUGUGACGCAUCCAUGAUGUACAUGUAGUAUUGACUGAGCAUUCUUCUACAAAUACUAGUGGUUGAAUUUCCUCGUCUGCAGAGCUAUGCAUUUUUCUGUUGCAUAUAUGUAUGGACAUAAAGUAAGCUUGUUGAGGAGUAACUGUGUAUGUUUAUGUAUAGACAGCUUUGUGGACAUAUAUUGUACACUGUUUGCCUCCAUGUACUGUAAAUGCGAUUCUUGUCUAUGGAAUCAUAUUUACCAGUGCGAUCUAGCGCAAUGUGAAUUCAACAUGUUUACCACAAUGUGAUCACGUUGUUGAAUACUCUUCCCCCCCCCCAUUCAAUAACAGAAAUGCAUUGUUAAUAAACACUUCCUUGAUUUGUACAUUUACAAGUGAAAUAUAACCCUUUUAUUUCAACUCUGACCACACCCUUAAGCUCUUGAUUACAAAAGAAUGAAAAGUUGUUUUUGUUUUUCAGUUAUUUCCAAGUGGAUGUUCAAGACUUUGAAAGGGCAUAGACAAGUGGAACAUUAAUAAUAUAAUUUUCAUAAUUGAAAUAAAUAGCAUGAAGUACAUCAGUCUUGAGUAUUUAUAUUUUUCCUGGAUCUGGCGAACAUUAAGAUUAGAUCGCAAGCAAUGUAUUCAUAUAAUUAUAACCACUUUCACCUUGGAUUGAAUUGAAUACAUAUAGGUGGCAUUAUUCUCAGUCCAUUAUUCUUUUCUAUGACAGGGCAUGGCUACAUUCACGAGGGUAACAAGAGGAGCGGUGGCUGGCGUCGCUCACUCUAUUUAGUCGGGGUGGGAAGGUGACGGUGGACUCGGUUUUAAAAUUAGGAGGAAAUCAGAGCGAAUAGAAGCUCAAUAGAUUGUAUGGUGUGUAAACAAAUCACAGGCACCCGGGAAAGCAUGCUUGGCUGCCUGUCAAUUUCUCUUUUUCAUCAGGCCUUUUUUUACUUUUGAACGUGGAUAGAGAGAUGGUGUUAAUUUGAUGUGAAAUCAUGGGAAUAAUUGGAGGCAGGCAGUCAGUCAAUUAUCACUCUGACUUGUUUGGAAGAUAGUAGUUUGUGUGACAGUCUCUUCCC
Molecule: long non-coding RNA, 4442 nt
Filed under: Strongylocentrotus purpuratus (purple sea urchin)
Lineage: Eukaryota; Metazoa; Echinodermata; Echinoidea; Camarodonta; Strongylocentrotidae
Description: uncharacterized LOC115919155, transcript variant X2
Source: RNAcentral